Panthera uncia (snow leopard) is the source of this 1432-nucleotide long non-coding RNA. RefSeq lists it as uncharacterized. Lineage: Eukaryota; Metazoa; Chordata; Mammalia; Carnivora; Felidae. The transcript is spliced from 3 exons. The record is from RefSeq and is a predicted model, not a curated record.
CCAGGAUACACUUUUGCUUUCAGGAGAGGGACGCCACAGGGAAAACCACUUUGGUUCGACAGAGGCCAUCGAACCAACUUUAAGAGCACUGCGCAUCUGCUUCUGGUAGGAAACCGGAUGAAGAGACCUGCUUUGACUCUGACUUUGCACGGUUGCCAAAGAUGGCCCCACAGCUCUCUUUUCAACAAAUGACUUGUUCUGUUUUGGGGUUUAAUGGCCAAAUGAAAGGAUUGAGGUCAUGUGAGAGAAAGAGAUGUGCCCAAGGUCUCAACACUGGUUGCAAAACUGAAUGUGGAAACCAAGCCUCCCGGUGCUUAGGCCAGGAUUCCUUUUUACUAUCUGUUAAAAUUCUUGAUCAGCACGGUAUCUGCUGAAAAACAAAUACCCAAUCCCUUCUCCUCGCACACCCUGUCUCGAGGGUUCUUCCGACCCUUUAGGUUUUCAGUGUUGCAGGCUCACUGUCUCAGGGGCCUUUAAAAGAGAAAAGAAUCCCAUAAUUUGAAAUUUCAACCCUUGUUUUCAAUGACAAGAUGAGAAAAAAUAAAUCGUAUGAAAUCAGACAGGUCUUUUCUGAAGAUUUUAUUUCUGCUCUGAGCUGCUUCUGGGUCACCUACUGCUCUAAUUAUGCUGGAAGUAAAGCUGGCUUUCAUGAGAUUCAGGACAUGGCUGGAGGAAAAACCUGUCAGGAUUACUUCAGAUCAUCAGUGCUCACGAUGGCCUCAGAGCAUUCCAGGAAUUCAUUGAUUCAUUCCGUAAUUCAUUCCGCCGAUUAACCACAAACACAGACACACAGGGAGAACAGACAUCACUGACUGAUGUCGUCUUACUAAUACACCCAGGGCAGGACAGAGCAGAAAAACAACAACGCAUGGGUUUAAGGCUGGUCGCCUCCCCAAGCUCCUCACGUGAGCAGCGUGGAAGAGGAGGAAGGCUGGACUUGAGGUUCACAGCCCCGCUUCUUUCCUUCUAAGGUGUGCUCCCUACAAGGGAAGCAGUAACUCCAGGGCUUUCGAGGGGACACGGCUCCGGGGAGGGUCAGUGGAGAUGGCGGAUGGCACACUGAGAAGCGCUGCACCUGGGUGAGAGUUUUAGGCACUUAACACACGUGUUGGGCGCCUGUUAGAUGACACGCAGCACGCUAAACACCAAAGAUGUCAAGUUAAAUAAAAUACAGCCCUGCCCUCAAGAGGACGACGACGUGUGGCGAGGGCCAAUCCCUUGAUAUGUUCAAGAGAACCCAGAGAAAGUCACACAAAUAACAAGAACCCAAAACUUGCCACUGAAUUUCUAAUCCUUGGCACGCUCAAUGCGGUGCUUUAUUCAACGGACAGAGCUGGCUGUCGGUGCCUCUGACUCCCUCGGCAGAUGCCCAGGAUCCAGGAUUCAGCUUUCCAUCCAAGGCGUCCUGCUCAGGGCUGAGUUCUGUGCAGCC